AGCUCAACGAGAACAGAAA
RNAcentral lists this small nuclear RNA (19 nucleotides) under Arabidopsis thaliana (thale cress). RNAcentral's name for it is "snRNA_04167". The record is from RNAcentral. Lineage: Eukaryota; Viridiplantae; Streptophyta; Magnoliopsida; Brassicales; Brassicaceae.